RNAcentral lists this ribosomal RNA (515 nucleotides) under uncultured bacterium. RNAcentral's name for it is "partial 16S ribosomal RNA". It matches the Rfam family "Bacterial small subunit ribosomal RNA", at positions 28 to 523 of the family's 1533-position model. The record is from RNAcentral.
GAUGAACGCUGGCGGCGUGCCUAAUACAUGCAAGUCGAGCGAAUGGAUUAAGAGCUUGCUCUUAUGAAGUUAGCGGCGGACGGGUGAGUAACACGUGGGUAACCUGCCCAUAAGACUGGGAUAACUCCGGGAAACCGGGGCUAAUACCGGAUAACAUUUUGAACCGCAUGGUUCGAAAUUGAAAGGCGGCUUCGGCUGUCACUUAUGGAUGGACCCGCGUCGCAUUAGCUAGUUGGUGAGGUAACGGCUCACCAAGGCAACGAUGCGUAGCCGACCUGAGAGGGAGAUCGGCCACACUGGGACUGAGACACGGCCCAGACUCCUACGGGAGGCAGCAGUAGGGAAUCUUCCGAAAUGGACGAAGGUCUGACGGAGCAACGCCGCGUGAGUGAUGAAGGCUUUCGGGUCGUAAAACUCUGUUGUUAGGGAAGAACAAGUGCUAGUUGAAUAAGCUGGCACCUUGACGGUACCUAACCAGAAAGCCACGGCUAACUACGUGCCAGCAGCCGCAGUAA